UUCUCGCCAAGUGGCGCCCCCAUCCAACCUAUAUCUGAUGUCUCCAUCAGAGGAUGUCUACGGCGGCGGCAUCCUCAUCUUCUUAGAUACAUGGAGCAAUGUCGAACCUAGCAGCAUGCAUUGGAAUGUCCUCUAAGCUAUGCUAAAUAAAAUUUAACCACGGUGAAAAAUGUGACAAGUAAAAGCUUGAAUUGUUAUUUUUUUCAUAGACAAUUUCUUCAUAUAUGCAUACUUUUUUUACACCUACAUCUUCAAUUUGUUUUCACAUAGUUAUUUCUCUUUCACAUCUUCUGCUAUAAUUGUCAGGCUAUAUAAUCAAAUGCUUUGUUCCCGCCUCAUGGAACCAUUUCACGAACCUUACAACUAUCUUAGCAUGCAGAUGUCAUUACCCGUCAGUGAUACGAAAUUUUGAGACCAGUGACAUUUGUUUCAGUACACAAUUCCAUAAUAAGCAUGACAGUUGGGACUGGUUAUGACACAUCGUCAGAUUGUGUGGGCCUGUAGUUCUUAUAUAAGAAUGGUAGCCCCCUAGAGCUUAGUGCCUUAGUGAGCAGAUUGUACUUUGCACAAACUAAUUUUCGUGUGGUUUUCCCUUUAUGACUGGGCAAAAUGAAUUUGCCUAUACUCUAUAGUAGCUGCAUGCUAUCAUGCUACAUUGCUCCAUCUGAU
Long non-coding RNA from Hordeum vulgare subsp. vulgare (domesticated barley), 669 nucleotides. RefSeq lists it as uncharacterized. The transcript is spliced from 2 exons. The record is from RefSeq and is a predicted model, not a curated record. NCBI's taxonomy places the organism in Eukaryota, Viridiplantae, Streptophyta, Magnoliopsida, Poales, Poaceae.